RNAcentral lists this ribosomal RNA (468 nucleotides) under uncultured bacterium. Its description in RNAcentral is "partial 16S ribosomal RNA". It matches the Rfam family "Bacterial small subunit ribosomal RNA", at positions 28 to 507 of the family's 1533-position model. The record is from RNAcentral.
GACGAACGCUGGCGGCGUGCUUAACACAUGCAAGUCGAACGGAAAGGCCCUGCUUUUGUGGGGUGCUCGAGUGGCGAACGGGUGAGUAACACGUGAGUAACCUGCCCUUGACUUUGGGAUAACUUCAGGAAACUGGGGCUAAUACCGGAUAGGAGCUCCUGCUGCAUGGUGGGGGUUGGAAAGUUUCGGCGGUUGGGGAUGGACUCGCGGCCUAUCAGCUUGUUGGUGGGGUAGUGGCUUACCAAGGCUUUGACGGGUAGCCGGCCUGAGAGGGUGACCGGCGACAUUGGGACUGAGAUAGGGCGCAGACGCCUACGGGAGGCAGCGGUGGGGAAUAGUGCACAGUGGGCGGAAGCCUGAUGCAGCAACGCCGCGUGCGGGAUGACGGCCUUCGGGUUGUAAACCGCUUUCGCCUGUGACGAAGCGUGAGUGACGGUAAUGGGUAAAGAAGCACCGGCUAACUACGUG